This is a non-coding RNA of Prunus avium (sweet cherry), 581 nucleotides long. The record is from RefSeq and is a predicted model, not a curated record. Lineage: Eukaryota; Viridiplantae; Streptophyta; Magnoliopsida; Rosales; Rosaceae.
UCUACAACUAAAACUCAAACCUAAUCUGAAAAAAAACCCCAACGUUGUCAAGCAGCCGCCAGAAAGUCUUGCUCAUGCUCAAUGGGGCUUGGAGAAAAUAGCUCAUACCACUUCAUGUCUGUCUUGAGCUUAGUAUUCUGUAUCUAAUCUCACCACUGUCUUGCUCAAUCCCAUUUCUGACAAACCUUCCAAAACAUCUCCUCCUCCUCCUCAUGCUGAAGAUGAGGAUGAGUCCAAAGGAAGUCCAAGAAUACAUUUGCACCACCUCUUUGUGGUAGCUUCUAUGGUGUUGUGCUUGAUGGGCCUGGAGGUUCUGUGCCAACAGUGACAGAGUAUAUGGUUAAUGGUUCUCUCAGAAAUGCCUUGCAGAAGAAUAAGAAGAAAUGUGUUUGUUUGGCUUUUUGUUCUUUGCAUUAAUUUGAUAAAUCAGAAUGAAUGUUGUAGCUGACUAGUUGGUAUGUAAUUUCCAAUUGUAUUAAUCAAUUGGGUAUUGAAAUUUGUUUGUAUUUGUAUGAAAAUAUGGGAUUGUAUGUUGAAGUUUGUUGCUGGAAUUUUGGAUGAACUUUGAUGAAAAUGUUUAU